UGCAAUAUCAUAAGCGGAGGAAAAGAAACCAACAGGGAUUGCCUCAGUAACGGCGAGUGAAGCGGCAAAAGCUCAAAUUUGAAAUCUGGUACCUUUGGUGCCCGAGUUGUAAUUUGAAGAUAGUUUUCUGGUGCUGGCCCUUGUCUAUGUUCCUUGGAACAGGACGUCACAGAGGGUGAGAAUCCCGUCUGGCGGGGUGUCCAGUGCUUUGUAGAUUUCUAUCGACGAGUCGAGUUGUUUGGGAAUGCAGCUCUAAGUGGGUGGUAAAUUCCAUCUAAAGCUAAAUAUUGGCGAGAGACCGAUAGCGAACAAGUACAGUGAUGGAAAGAUGAAAAGAACUUUGAAAAGAGAGUGAAAAAGUACGUGAAAUUGUUGAAAGGGAAGGGUAUUAGAUCAGACUUGGUGUUUUGUGAUUAUCUUCCCUUCUUGGGUUGUGCACUCGCAUUUCACUGGGCCAGCAUCGGUUCGGGUGGUAAGAUAAUGACAUUGGAACGUGGCACUGCCUUCGGGUGGUGUGUUAUAGCCCUUGUUGAUGUUGCCUACCUGGACCGAGGACUGCGGCUUUUGCCUAGGAUGCUGGCGUAAUGAUCUAACACCGCCCGUCUUGAAACACGGGACCA
This 620-nucleotide ribosomal RNA is filed under the name Williopsis suaveolens. RNAcentral's name for it is "LSU rRNA". It matches the Rfam family "Eukaryotic large subunit ribosomal RNA", at positions 37 to 664 of the family's 3401-position model. Lineage: Eukaryota; Fungi; Ascomycota; Saccharomycetes; Phaffomycetales; Wickerhamomycetaceae. The record is from RNAcentral.